AGUUGGGGCUCAGGGGUAUAGCAUUUGCCUGGCAUGUGUGAGGCCCUGAGUUCAAUCCUCAGCACCAAAUA
This 71-nucleotide transfer RNA is filed under the name Marmota monax (woodchuck). RNAcentral describes it as "tRNA.Ala". Lineage: Eukaryota; Metazoa; Chordata; Mammalia; Rodentia; Sciuridae. The record is from RNAcentral.